ACGCUAGCUACAGGCUUAACACAUGCAAGUCGAGGGGCAGCAUGGCCUUAGCUUGCUAAGGCCGAUGGCGACCGGCGCACGGGUGAGUAACACGUAUCCAACCUGCCGUCUACUCUUGGACAGCCUUCUGAAAGGAAGAUUAAUACAAGAUGGCAUCAUGAGUCCGCAUGUUCACAUGAUUAAAGGUAUUCCGGUAGACGAUGGGGAUGCGUUCCAUUAGAUAGUAGGCGGGGUAACGGCCCACCUAGUCUUCGAUGGAUAGGGGUUCUGAGAGGAAGGUCCCCCACAUUGGAACUGAGACACGGUCCAAACUCCUACGGGAGGCAGCAGUGAGGAAUAUUGGUCAAUGGGCGAGAGCCUGAACCAGCCAAGUAGCGUGAAGGAUGACUGCCCUAUGGGUUGUAAACUUCUUUUAUAAAGGAAUAAAGUCGGGUAUGGAUACCCGUUUGCAUGUACUUUAUGAAUAAGGAUCGGCUAACUCCGUGCCAGCAGCCGCGGUAAUACGGAGGAUCCGAGCGUUAUCCGGAUUUAUUGGGUUUAAAGGGAGCGUAGAUGGAUGUUUAAGUCAGUUGUGAAAGUUUGCGGCUCAACCGUAAAAUUGCAGUUGAUACUGGAUAUCUUGAGUGCAGUUGAGGCAGGCGGAAUUCGUGGUGUAGCGGUGAAAUGCUUAGAUAUCACGAAGAACUCCGAUUGCGAAGGCAGCCUGCUAAGCUGCAACUGACAUUGAGGCUCGAAAGUGUGGGUAUCAAACAGGAUUAGAUACCCUGGUAGUCCACACGGUAAACGAUGAAUACUCGCUGUUUGCGAUAUACUGCAAGCGGCCAAGCGAAAGCGUUAAGUAUUCCACCUGGGGAGUACGCCGGCAACGGUGAAACUCAAAGGAAUUGACGGGGGCCCGCACAAGCGGAGGAACAUGUGGUUUAAUUCGGUGAUACGCGAGGAACCUUACCCGGGCUUAAAUUGCAGAUGAAUUACGGUGAAAGCCGUAAGCCGCAAGGCAUCUGUGAAGGUGCUGCAUGGUUGUCGUCAGCUCGUGCCGUGAGGUGUCGGCUUAAGUGCCAUAACGAGCGCAACCCUUGUUGUCAGUUACUAACAGGUUCCGCUGAGGACUCUGACAAGACUGCCAUCGUAAGAUGUGAGGAAGGUGGGGAUGACGUCAAAUCAGCACGGCCCUUACGUCCGGGGCUACACACGUGUUACAAUGGGGGGUACAGAGGGCCGCUACCACGCGAGUGGAUGCCAAUCCCCAAAACCUCUCUCAGUUCGGACUGGAGUCUGCAACCCGACUCCACGAAGCUGGAUUCGCUAGUAAUCGCGCAUCAGCCACGGCGCGGUGAAUACGUUCCCGGGCCUUGUACACACCGCCCGUCAAGCCAUGGGAGCCGGGGGUACCUGAAGUGCGUAACCGCGAGGAGCGCCCUAGGGUAAAACUGG
Molecule: ribosomal RNA, 1434 nt
Filed under: uncultured organism
Description: 16S ribosomal RNA
Rfam family: Bacterial small subunit ribosomal RNA
Source: RNAcentral